AGAUCAUGAUGAGGACACCUUCGUUGUAACUCCCGAUAGCGCUCCCAAACUUCGUACAAUGUCUUUUUUUCCUGUUGUGAAACUAGUUAUAUCUAUUCUGAAUUU
Molecule: small nucleolar RNA, 105 nt
Organism: Coffea eugenioides
Lineage: Eukaryota; Viridiplantae; Streptophyta; Magnoliopsida; Gentianales; Rubiaceae
Source: RefSeq, a predicted model, not a curated record